UUCCUGAGUAACAACGAGACCUCAGCCUGCUAACUAGCUAUGCGGAGGUAUCCCUCCGCGGCCAGCUUCUUAGAGGGACUACGGCCUUUUAGGCCGCGGAAGUUUGAGGCAAUAACCAGGUCUGUGAUGCCCCUUAGAUGUUCUGGGCCGCCACGCGCGCUACACUGAUGUAUUCAACGAGUCUAUAGCCUUGGCCGACAGGCCCGGGUAAUCUUGGAAAAUUUCAUCGUGAUGGGGAUAGAUCAUUGCAAUUGUUGGUCUUCAACGAGGAAUGCCUAGUAA
Molecule: ribosomal RNA, 282 nt
Filed under: Mentha spicata (spearmint)
Lineage: Eukaryota; Viridiplantae; Streptophyta; Magnoliopsida; Lamiales; Lamiaceae
Description: partial 18S ribosomal RNA
Rfam family: Eukaryotic small subunit ribosomal RNA
Source: RNAcentral